GACGAACCGAGCGAACGUUGUUCGGAAUCACUGGGCUUAAAGGGCGCGUAGGCGGGCUGUCAAGUCUGGGGUGAAAUCCCACGGCUCAACCGUGGAACUGCCUUAGAUACUGACGGCCUCGAGGGAGAUAGGGGCGAGCGGAACUGUGAGUGGAGCGGUGAAAUGCGUUGAUAUUCACAGGAACUCCGGUGGCGAAGGCGGCUCGCUGGAUCUUUUCUGACGCUGAGGCGCGAAAGCUAAGGGAGCAAACGGG
Molecule: ribosomal RNA, 253 nt
Filed under: uncultured bacterium
Lineage: Bacteria
Description: partial 16S ribosomal RNA
Rfam family: Bacterial small subunit ribosomal RNA
Source: RNAcentral